This 492-nucleotide ribosomal RNA is filed under the name uncultured bacterium. RNAcentral describes it as "partial 16S ribosomal RNA". It matches the Rfam family "Bacterial small subunit ribosomal RNA", at positions 29 to 507 of the family's 1533-position model. The record is from RNAcentral.
AGUGAACGCUGGCGGUAGGCCUAACACAUGCAAGUCGAACGGCAGCACAGUAAGAGCUUGCUCUUACGGGUGGCGAGUGGCGGACGGGUGAGGAAUACAUCGGAAUCUACUUUUUCGUGGGGGAUAACGUAGGGAAACUUACGCUAAUACCGCAUACGACCUACGGGUGAAAGCAGGGGAUCUUCGGACCUUGCGCGAUUGAAUGAGCCGAUGUCGGAUUAGCUAGUUGGCGGGGUAAAGGCCCACCAAGGCGACGAUCCGUAGCUGGUCUGAGAGGAUGAUCAGCCACACUGGAACCGAGACACGGUCCAGACUCCUACGGGAGGCAGCAGUGGGGAAUAUUGGACAAUGGGCGCAAGCCUGAUCCAGCCAUACCGCGUGGGUGAAGAAGGCCUUCGGGUUGUAAAGCCCUUUUGUUGGGAAAGAAAAGCAGCAGGUUAAUACCCCGCUGCUCUGACGGUACCCAAAGAAUAAGCACCGGCUAACUUCGUG